CCUACGGGAGGCAGCAGUGGGGGAUAUUGCACAAUGGGGGAAACCCUGAUGCAGCGACGCCGCGUGGGCGAAGAAGUAUUUCGGUAUGUAAAGCUCUAUCAGUAGGGAAGAAGAAAUGACGGUACCUGAGUAAGAAGCACCGGCUAAAACCGUGCCAGCAGCCGCGGUAAUACGUAGGGUGCAAGCGUUAUCCGGAUUUACUGGGUGUAAAGGGAGCGCAGGCGGGACGGCAAGCCUGAUGUGAAAGUCCGCGGCGCAACCGCAGUACUGCAUUGGGCAAUACCGGGCUGGAGUAUCGGAGAGGUAGGCGGAAUUCCUAGUGUAGCGGUGAAAUGCGUAGAUAUUAGGAGGAACACCAGUGGCGAAGGCGGCCUACUGGACGGUGACUGACGCUGAGGCUCGAAAGCGUGGGGAGCAAACAGGAUUAGAUACCCGUGUAGUC
This 442-nucleotide ribosomal RNA is filed under the name uncultured bacterium. RNAcentral's name for it is "partial 16S ribosomal RNA". It matches the Rfam family "Bacterial small subunit ribosomal RNA", at positions 338 to 795 of the family's 1533-position model. The record is from RNAcentral.